UUAGAGAUCGUUAGUCCGCACGAGCGCACCCUUGUCUUUAGUUGCCAGCAUUUAGUUGGGCACUCUAAAGGGACUGCCCAGGAUAACUCUGGGGAAGGGGGGGAUGACGUCCAAUCAUCAUGCCCCUUUUGCACAGGGCUACCCACGUGCUACAAUGGGUGGUACAAAAGGGUUGCCAAAUCCGAGGUGGAGCUAAUCCCUUAAAGCCUUUCUCAGUUCGGAUUGUAGGCUGAAACUCGCCUACAUGAAGCUGGAAUUACUAGUAAUCGCAGAUCAGAAUGCUGCGGUGAAUGCGUUCCCGGGCCUUGUAAC
This 312-nucleotide ribosomal RNA is filed under the name uncultured bacterium. RNAcentral's name for it is "bacterial SSU rRNA". It matches the Rfam family "Bacterial small subunit ribosomal RNA", at positions 1068 to 1385 of the family's 1533-position model. The record is from RNAcentral.